RNAcentral lists this transfer RNA (55 nucleotides) under Trachemys decorata. RNAcentral describes it as "partial tRNA-Leu". The record is from RNAcentral. Lineage: Eukaryota; Metazoa; Chordata; Testudines; Emydidae.
ACUUUUAAAGGAUAGAAGUAAUCCAUUGGUUUUAGAAACCAUCUACCCUUGGUGC